This 137-nucleotide ribosomal RNA is filed under the name Salmonella enterica subsp. enterica serovar Typhimurium. RNAcentral's name for it is "partial 23S ribosomal RNA". It matches the Rfam family "Bacterial large subunit ribosomal RNA", at positions 1 to 127 of the family's 2925-position model. The record is from RNAcentral. Lineage: Bacteria; Pseudomonadati; Pseudomonadota; Gammaproteobacteria; Enterobacterales; Enterobacteriaceae.
GGGUUGUGAGGUUAAGCGACUAAGCGUACACGGUGGAUGCCCUGGCAGUCAGAGGCGAUGAAGGGCGUGCUAAUCUGCGAUAAGCGCCGGUAAGGUGAUAUGAACCGUUAUAACCGGCGAUACCCGAAUGGGGAAAC